Molecule: ribosomal RNA, 445 nt
Filed under: uncultured bacterium
Lineage: Bacteria
Description: partial 16S ribosomal RNA
Rfam family: Bacterial small subunit ribosomal RNA
Source: RNAcentral
GUGAGGAAUAUUGGUCAAUGGGCGAAAGCCUGAACCAGCCAUGUCGCGUGAAGGAUGAAGGUCCUAUGGAUUGUAAACUUCUUUUGCAGGAGGGUAAAGUGAGCUACGUGUAGUUCAUUGCAAGUACCCUGCGAAUAAGCAUCGGCUAACUCCGUGCCAGCAGCCGCGGUAAUACGGAGGAUGCGAGCGUUAUCCGGAUUUAUUGGGUUUAAAGGGUGCGUAGGCGGACUAAUUAGUCAGCGGUGAAAUUUUGCGGCUCAACCGUAAAACUGCCGUUGAAACUGUUAGUCUUGAGUGCGGUAGAGGUAGGCGGAAUGUGUGGUGUAGCGGUGAAAUGCUUAGAUAUCACACAGAACACCGAUUGCGUAGGCAGCUUACUGGAGCGCAACUGACGCUGAGGCACGAAAGCGUGGGGAUCGAACAGGAUUAGAUACCCCGGUAGUCC